Molecule: ribosomal RNA, 481 nt
Filed under: uncultured organism
Description: partial 16S ribosomal RNA
Rfam family: Bacterial small subunit ribosomal RNA
Source: RNAcentral
ACGUACACUCCUACGGGAGGCAGCAGUGGGGAAUUUUGGACAAUGGGCGAAAGCCUGAUCCAGCCAUGCCGCGUGCAGGAUGAAGGCCUUCGGGUUGUAAACUGCUUUUGUACGGAACGAAACGGCCUUUUCUAAUAAAGAGGGCUAAUGACGGUACCGUAAGAAUAAGCACCGGCUCACUACGUGCCAGCAGCCGCGGUAAUACGUAGGGUGCAAGCGUUAAUCGGAAUUACUGGGCGUAAAGCGUGCGCAGGCGGUUAUGUAAGACAGUUGUGAAAUCCCCGGGCUCAACCUGGGAACUGCAUCUGUGACUGCAUAGCUAGAGUACGGUAGAGGGGGAUGGAAUUCCGCGUGUAGCAGUGAAAUGCGUAGAUAUGCGGAGGAACACCGAUGGCGAAGGCAAUCCCCUGGACCUGUACUGACGCUCAUGCACGAAAGCGUGGGGAGCAAACAGGAUUAGAAACCCCAGUAGUCCCAUGAU